AGUGCGAGAGAAAACAGGUUUCAAAAACAGCCGAGACGCCAGCCUCGCCACCUGGACCCGGCCAGAGUUAGAGACGCAGGGAUCUAGAUGGCCCGAUGUGCGGAGCGUGAGGGUCCGAGAGUCCCCGCCCCCCGCCGCGAAGACCUGUUCUAGGAUUUGUAGACAGCCCUGCUGGAAGGUACCAGCAGGGUCCCCCAUGGUGGACAGGUUUCAGCAGAGCUCCCAGACUAAGACAGACCAGGAAGAACGACCUGGCCACCCUCUUCUGAAAAAUUUGGCCAUGAAAACCCUAUGCAUAGCAGCAGAUCGCUGUCUGAUACAGCGCCAGAAGCAGCUGAGCAUGCCUCAAGGAUCAAGGCUGGAAGCAUCAUUCACCCCAGGCUUCCCUGGAGCCGCUGACCAGUGCCUGGCACAGAGGAGGUGCCCAGUACGCAUCAGGGACUUAAGUUCUGUCCGCCAGUUCUCUGAGUGUGCCCAGCAAGCGGGUGACCCUCCGCAGUUGGAGAAGCAACAGCAACUGUGGAGGCUGGAGGAGGUGGCCCUGAGGGCCCCCACCAGCCCAGACUGCCCUCCUGGAGAGGACCAGCAGCUGUCUCCUCCUCAGUCUGGGCAUCCACAGAGGGAGGUCUCUGGCUAUGGAGCUGCUGAGCUAAUUAAGAAUGACAAAGCACCGUGUAAUUGCCAGCACUUGGUGAGUCCCCUGCCUCUUCCUGCCCCUCCUUCCCUUGCCCUGCUUGGCCUGGAAGUCCUCCGCACAAACAGAGCCCGGUGGAGUGGCAACACUGAGCACAGGCUGGUGUCAAGCAGACCUGGAGACUGGCUGCCUCUGCCGCCCCCUUGCAGCGAGACCCUGAGCAAGGAAGUUCCCCUCUUACGUCAGCUCCAUUUCCUCGUCUGCAGGGCUCUUGACCUUGUGUUAAGAGGAGGGACAAGGCUAAGGGGCCGACGGGGCUGCACUUGCCAGAUGGUUGAAUGCAACAAGGCACACAGCCCCAGGUCUGAACCCCAGCCCUGCCACUCACCAGCUGUGUGAUCUUGGGCAGGCCACUUACCUUCUCUGAGCAACAGAGUCCUCAUCUCCAAAAUGGGAUUUGUCUGAGAGCACUUAGCUCUUACGAGGAGAAUAUGCGUUUGUCCUAGAUCUGUGCCUGCGACAGAGAACCCUGGACAAGUUCCUCUCUAUCAAAGUGGAUGCAGAAAUUAAGGGUUGAGAACUUAUGAGCAAUUUGAUAGAGUAAUUUUAUGUCUUGAGUCUCAUAAUAAAGAAAUAGGCUUGUAAUUUUUUUCA
Equus caballus (horse) is the source of this 1288-nucleotide long non-coding RNA. RefSeq lists it as uncharacterized. The record is from RefSeq and is a predicted model, not a curated record. Lineage: Eukaryota; Metazoa; Chordata; Mammalia; Perissodactyla; Equidae.